RNAcentral lists this long non-coding RNA (1756 nucleotides) under Homo sapiens (human). RNAcentral's name for it is "HSALNT0265893". Lineage: Eukaryota; Metazoa; Chordata; Mammalia; Primates; Hominidae. The record is from RNAcentral.
GUUCCGGUGCACAGGUGUUUCUGGCUGGCGCCAGUCCCGAGGUGCUCUGCUGAUUCCGAGAAGCCGGCAGGCGGCAGCCACUGUGGUCAGGGCAGCACUGCCGUCUUCAUCUGGGCGUCCUCAUGCACCUGCUGUCAGCAGGCCCUCCUACCCUGACCCUGGAGGACAAUCUGGGAGCCUCGGAGCCUUUCUGAAAGGUGCAGUUUCAUCUUCUGAAUCCAAGAAUGGAAGCACGAUGGGACUUGAGCAUCCAGGACUACCCACUCAGGAGAGCAUAUGACCAGCCCCUCAGAGCCUCUGGGGUCGAGGCAGGUGUGUCACCUUCCAGCCCCAUAGUCAGUUCCUGUGGCUCCUUUGCCCAUGGGCUGUGCCAUUAUUAUGCCACAUGACUGUGCAGUUGCUUUGUGCCUGGGGUGUUUGUCAGAAAAGAUUCCCAGGGCAGGUGGGUGUGAAGACAGCAUCCUCCCUUGGCCGAGGUGACACCCUCCAGGCUGGGGACAGAGUCUGGGAGAGUAAGGAGCACUUGCUUCUUUCUCUGGGAAAUGUGCUGUGUGUCCCGACAGGGCGUCCUGGUUCUCCCCUUUGCCCUCACACUCUUUUCCCACAGUGAGUCCUGGUACACUCUUGCUCAGAGCCUGCAGUGGGAUCCACCAUCCCUGCAGUGGCCCCCAAGGGCUCCAAGAGCCAGCAGGACCUGCCUUGACCUUCCAGUCUCACUUCUGUCCACUCUCUGCUUUCCUCUCGCCAGUCCAGCCUGACCUCCUCGCUGUCCCUUCAGCACCCAGGCACAGCCAUGCCUCAGGGCCUUUGGAUGUGCGGUUUGCCUGGAGCACUCUUCACCCAGUCAUCUGCUUGGCCAAUGUCCUUGGCACCUUCUCUUUGGCACACCCAACACUGCAGAGCCUCCCCUCUCCAGCCCACACUCAGGACCCAUGUAUCUGACUCUGCUUUCUUUCCUUCCCAUAACACUUACAGUCGUGUAACAUACAAGUUGUUUACUCUUCUGUUCUGUUGUUGUUUGUGAGUUGUUGCCGGUUUUGCUCCCCAAUAUCCUGAGCACUCAGCAGUGUCUGCCCGGCUUUGGCUCAGAUGGAGCAUGAUGUGUGGAUUUGGGUUUGUUGCAUCUUCUCAGUUCAAAUAAAACUGACAAAUGGCAGCAUUCUUCAGCAGACAUCCAGCAUAGCUUUAUCAAUUUCAUGUAUUUCUGCUUCUGUCUUUAUUAUCUUGUGCAUUCUAUUUUCCUAAGGUUUAUUCUGUUUUAAAAGAAUAUGUUUUCUUAAGUUCAUUCAUUCUCAGACUUCCUGCUUUUCUAAAACAGCCCUAAUAUCAUGUAACCACUCUUAGAACCUUUUUGUUGUAUUCUACAGGUUGUGACAGGUACUCUUAAUGAUUAUUCAAUAUUAGGUACUGUUAUUUAUAAAUUAUUUAGAAAUACUUGGUGAGUCAUUGUUACCUCCUUUUUCCUGUUUUAGAGGUCAUGACUUCUGUAUUCUUUGAUACAGCCUAGCAUUUACAGCCUGCAUUCCUCACUUAUCAAAGUCUGAUGUUAACUGGUGAUUUUAUAUGUGGGCACUCUCUUUUCCAAAUAUAUUUUAAAAAUCUUUUAAUCAUUGAUUUUUCACUUAAUUGUAUUGCGUUUAGAAAAUAUGGUGUACAGUACUAAGUUUUGCAAUCUUUUGAGACUUGCUAUUUAGUCCAAUGCAUAAGCAAUAUUUGUAAAUGUUGUCUGUGAUCGUAUAAGAAAUAAAUCCCACCA